GCAGUAGUGAUUGAGUGGUAGAAUUCUCACCUUUCAAGUGGGACAUCCAGAUUCCAUUCCCAGCUAAUGCA
RNAcentral lists this transfer RNA (71 nucleotides) under Loxodonta africana (African savanna elephant). It matches the Rfam family "tRNA". From Rfam's summary of the family: Transfer RNA (tRNA) molecules are approximately 80 nucleotides in length. The record is from Rfam by way of RNAcentral. Lineage: Eukaryota; Metazoa; Chordata; Mammalia; Proboscidea; Elephantidae.